Molecule: ribosomal RNA, 462 nt
Filed under: uncultured bacterium
Lineage: Bacteria
Description: partial 16S ribosomal RNA
Rfam family: Bacterial small subunit ribosomal RNA
Source: RNAcentral
GACGAACGUUGGCGGCGUGCUUAACACAUGCAAGUCGAGCGGAAAGGCCCUUCGGGGUACUCGAGCGGCGAACGGGUGAGUAACACGUGAGUAACCUGCCCCAGACUUUGGGAUAACCCUCGGAAACGGGGGCUAAUACCGGAUACGACACGGCUUCGCAUGGGGUCUGUGUGGAAAGUUUUUCGGUUUGGGAUGGGCUCGCGGCCUAUCAGCUUGUUGGUGGGGUGAUGGCCUACCAAGGCGACGACGGGUAGCCGGCCUGAGAGGGCGACCGGCCACACUGGGACUGAGACACGGCCCAGACUCCUACGGGAGGCAGCAGUGGGGAAUAUUGCACAAUGGGCGGAAGCCUGAUGCAGCGACGCCGCGUGAGGGAUGACGGCCUUCGGGUUGUAAACCUCUUUCAGCAGGGACGAAGCGUAAGUGACGGUACCUGCAGAAGAAGCGCCGGCCAACUACGUG